RNAcentral lists this ribosomal RNA (519 nucleotides) under uncultured euryarchaeote. RNAcentral's name for it is "bacterial SSU rRNA". It matches the Rfam family "Archaeal small subunit ribosomal RNA", at positions 325 to 844 of the family's 1478-position model. Lineage: Archaea; Methanobacteriati; Methanobacteriota. The record is from RNAcentral.
ACGGGGUGCAGCAGGCGCGAAACCUUUACAAUGCUGGCAACAGCGAUAGGGGGACCUCGAGUGCCACCGUACAACGGUGGCUGUCGUUGUGUCUAAAAAACACGAUAUAGCAAGGGCCGGGCAAGACCGGUGCCAGCCGCCGCGGUAACACCGGCGGCUCGAGUGGUAACCGUUAUUAUUGGGUUUAAAGGGUCUGUAGCCGGCCGGAUAAGUCUCUUGGGAAAUCUGGCAGCUCAACUGUCAGGCUUUCAGGAGAUACUGUUCGGCUCGAGACCGGGGGAGGUGAGAGGUACUUCAGGGGUAGGGGUGAAAUCUUGUAAUCCUUGAAGGACCACCAGUGGCGAAGGCGUCUCACCAGAACGGAUCUGACUGUAAGGGACGAAAGCUAGGGGCACGAACCGGAUUAGAUACCCGGGUAGUCUUAGCCGUAAACAAUACUCGCUAGGUGUCGGCCACGGUGCGACCGUGGUCGGUGCCGUAGGGAAACCGUGAAGCGAGCCACCUGGGAAGUACGGCCGC